AACUGGAGGUAAAGAUGACGAUAACGGCAGUUUUGGAGGCAUGCUAAGCGCCAUUACUGGAAAUAACGACGACAAACCAGCAGGGACGGACUUGAUGGGUGCUGUUAAAGGAUUCUUCUAAUACACAUCCUGCAGACCACACCACUAUCUACAUGCAUUGGGAGUAUUGUUCAAUCACUGUUUUAAUACAGAUCCUGCAGACCACACCACCACAUCUACAACUGAUUUACUUUUUUCUUGACUUAUAUAUAAAAACAAGUUCAGAGUCAUAAAUAGAUGAAAAUGUCACUAUUUAUUCUGUUCUGUUCUUGCUGGUUGGGAAUGUACUGAAAUCUACAAAUGAUAAUUAAGAUGACCUGAACUAAUCUGUUAAACUUGUUAGACAAGACAUGAAAACAUUACUAAACUGGUUUAUUAUCUGGUAAAAUGAAUAAAUAACUAUACUGC
Centropristis striata (black sea bass) is the source of this 447-nucleotide long non-coding RNA. RefSeq lists it as uncharacterized. The transcript has 3 exons. NCBI's taxonomy places the organism in Eukaryota, Metazoa, Chordata, Actinopteri, Perciformes, Serranidae. The record is from RefSeq and is a predicted model, not a curated record.